RNAcentral lists this ribosomal RNA (494 nucleotides) under uncultured bacterium. Its description in RNAcentral is "partial 16S ribosomal RNA". It matches the Rfam family "Bacterial small subunit ribosomal RNA", at positions 28 to 507 of the family's 1533-position model. The record is from RNAcentral.
GACGAACGCUGGCGGCGUGCUUAACACAUGCAAGUCGAACGGUGAAGCGCCUUCCUUUUUGGUGGGUGUGGAUGAGUGGCGAACGGGUGAGUAACACGUGAGUAACCUGCCCCCUUCUUCUGGAUAACCGCAUGAAAGUGUGGCUAAUACGGGAUAUUCUGGGUCUGUCGCAUGAUGGGUCUGGGAAAGAUAUUGUUUCGGUGGGGGAUGGGCUCGCGGCCUAUCAGCUUGUUGGUGGGGUGAUGGCCUACCAAGGCGGUGACGGGUAGCCGGCCUGAGAGGGUGGACGGUCACACUGGGACUGAGACACGGCCCGGACUCCUACGGGAGGCAGCAGUGGGGAAUAUUGCACAAUGGGCGAAAGCCUGAUGCAGCGACGCCGCGUGGGGGAUGGAGGCCUUCGGGUUGUGAACCUCUUUCGCCAGUGAAGCAGGCCUGCCUCGUUUGUGGGUGGGUUGACGGUAGCUGGAUAAGAAGCGCCGGCUAACUACGUG